This 504-nucleotide ribosomal RNA is filed under the name uncultured bacterium. Its description in RNAcentral is "partial 16S ribosomal RNA". It matches the Rfam family "Bacterial small subunit ribosomal RNA", at positions 29 to 523 of the family's 1533-position model. The record is from RNAcentral.
AUUGAACGCUGGCGGCAGGCCUAACACAUGCAAGUCGAACGGUAGCACAGAGAGCUUGCUCUCGGGUGACGAGUGGCGGACGGGUGAGUAACGUCUGGGAAACUGCCCGAUGGAGGGGGAUAACUACUGGAAACGGUAGCUAAUACCGCACAACGUCGCAAGACCAAAGUGGGGGACCUUCGGGCCUCACACCAUCGGAUGUGCCCAGAUGGGAUUAGCUAGUAGGUGGGGUAAUGGCUCACCUAGGCGACGAUCCCUAGCUGGUCUGAGAGGAUGACCAGCCACACUGGAACUGAGACACGGUCCAGACUCCUACGGGAGGCAGCAGUGGGGAAUAUUGCACAAUGGGCGCAAGCCUGAUGCAGCCAUGCCGCGUGUAUGAAGAAGGCCUUCGGGUUGUAAAGUACUUUCAGCGGGGAGGAAGGCGGUGAAGUUAACAGCAUCACCGAUUGACGUUACCCGCAGAAGAAGCACCGGCUAACUCCGUGCCAGCCGCCGCGGUAA